RNAcentral lists this long non-coding RNA (1125 nucleotides) under Falco tinnunculus (common kestrel). Its description in RNAcentral is "lncRNA (ENSFTIG00000003730.1)". Lineage: Eukaryota; Metazoa; Chordata; Aves; Falconiformes; Falconidae. The record is from RNAcentral.
CCAACCGCCACGUCCGGCCGCUUUGAAAUCCUUUUGCUGGGAUCGGGGCGUUUGUUCUCGUCAGCACGGUUCACACCCGGGGCGGAGAAAAGCGCCCACCGAGCCACUGGGGGGGGGGGNGCCGGGGGGGGGGCGGGGGGGAAACUGGCACCCCCAGCCCGCCCCGGGGGGUCUAGGGGCGCCCCAGGGCCUUCCUGCAGUUGAGGGGGGCCUCCGCUGCACACCCUAACAGCAGUGCACCCUUAGCCUGUGAGCAAUUACAGUGACUUCUUACCUUGUACUCAUAAGAAAAUGCAAAUACCUGAGUGUCCAGUUACAUCCGCACACACUGUUCCUUCUACGUAUUUCUUCCUACAAUGCUCUGGCUUGGUUUAGAUUUCACACUUUUCCCUAUCGCCAGGUGCAAGGCUGAGGUAAAACUGCCUCCCUCCCUGCCUGCUUCCAGCUGCGGAAACAAGCCAGGAAACGCAUGGCAAAUGGGACUUGCAACAAUUGCCAGUUUUGCUUAGUUGCAAUCUCUUGUCAACAACACAGGUCAAGAAGCCAAGACCACACAAAAUCAAUCAAAAGGAGAAGUACUCUGGAUAUCUGAAAAAUCACAGCCAGCAACUAUCUGGAGCCAAGCUCUAUCUUUGUGGUUAGUUUCCAGGAAACAUACGGGUGGGUGUUGUUUUUUUUUGUUUUUGUUUUUGUUUUUGUUUUUUUUUUUUGUAGUAACUUGUCAACAAUGGUGCUACAGUUACACACAUGCAAUAUCAUUUUCACAGAACAGAGACACUAACACAUCAUUUUCUUCCCUCCUUUGUAGCCUUCCCCUUAUGGUAACUAUUUUCUAAUUCUGUUUUUUUCAUAUUUAGAUACAAAAUGCAAGCUCCACAAAAGAAGCAUUCUUCACAAAUAGCCCCUACAUAAAAAAAUCCACACAUACUUGUUUCAGUCCCAUUUUUCAUUACACAGAAAAUUCAAACAUGUACGUAUCUGUGUAACUAGUAACAUUUUCCACAGUCCAGAAGGAGAACUAUUCCCUCCCACCCAGACAACUGAAAAUACCGCUGCUUCAGUGAGAAAACUGAAAAGUGAACUGCAUUACCAAGUAACAGUAAGUAAAGCCAAACAUGCUUGUUA